GAUGAAGAACGCAGCGAAAUGCGAUAAGUAAUGUGAAUUGCAGAAUUCAGUGAAUCAUCGAAUCUUUGAACGCACAUUGCGCCCCUUGGUAUUCCGAGGGGCAUGCCUGUUCGAGCGUCAUUAUAACCCCUCAAGCUCAGCUUGGUGUUGGGGCCUGCUGCACUGGCAGCCCUUAAAAUCGGUGGCGGCGCCGUCUGGCUCUAAGCGUAGUAAUUCUUCUCGCUAUGGAGUCCUGGUGGAUGCUUGCCAUCAACCCCCAAUUUUUCUAUGGUUGACCUCGGAUCAGGUAGGGAUACCCGCUGAACUUAAGCAUGUCAAUAAGCGGAGGA
Molecule: unclassified non-coding RNA, 329 nt
Filed under: soil metagenome
Description: partial contains 5.8S ribosomal RNA, internal transcribed spacer 2, and large subunit ribosomal RNA
Rfam family: 5.8S ribosomal RNA (bases 1-120)
Source: RNAcentral